GAUUUGGCCCCAGUUGGUAGAGAAUGAGAAUCUUAAUCUCAGGAUCGUGAGUUUGAGCCCCACAUUGGACA
RNAcentral lists this transfer RNA (71 nucleotides) under Podarcis lilfordi (Lilford's wall lizard). RNAcentral describes it as "tRNA.Lys". The record is from RNAcentral. Lineage: Eukaryota; Metazoa; Chordata; Lepidosauria; Squamata; Lacertidae.